Molecule: transfer RNA, 56 nt
Filed under: Schistocephalus solidus
Lineage: Eukaryota; Metazoa; Platyhelminthes; Cestoda; Diphyllobothriidea; Diphyllobothriidae
Rfam family: tRNA
About the family: Transfer RNA (tRNA) molecules are approximately 80 nucleotides in length.
Source: Rfam by way of RNAcentral
GAGCCCGUGGCUCAAUGGUAGAGCGUUCGCCUCAAAUACCAAAGGUCGCGGGUUCG